This 1050-nucleotide ribosomal RNA is filed under the name uncultured archaeon. RNAcentral's name for it is "bacterial SSU rRNA". It matches the Rfam family "Archaeal small subunit ribosomal RNA", at positions 88 to 1143 of the family's 1478-position model. The record is from RNAcentral.
GCUCAGUAACACGUGGAUAAUCUGCCCUAUGGUGGAGGAUAACCCCGGGAAACUGGGGAUAAUACUCCAUAAGUCAGGAGUACUGGAAUGUCUCCUAACUGAAAGUUUCGGCGCCAUAGGAUGAAUCUGCGGCCGAUUAGGUAGUUGUUGGGGUAACGGCCCAACAAGCCCGUAAUCGGUACGGGUUGUGGGAGCAAGAGCCCGGAGAUGGAAUCUGAGACACGAUUCCAGGCCCUACGGGGCGCAGCAGGCGCGAAAACUUUACAAUGCAGGAAACUGUGAUAAGGGAACCCCGAGUGCCCGUACACGCGGGCUGUCCCGGUGUUUAAAACACAUCGGAAGAAAGGGCCGGGCAAGACCGGUGCCAGCCGCCGCGGUAAUACCGGCGGCUCGAGUGGUGACCACUUUUAUUGGGCUUAAAGCGUUCGUAGCUUGAUUUUUAAGUCUCUUGGGAAAUCUCACGGCUUAACUGUGAGGCGUCUAAGAGAUACUGGGAAUCUAGGGACCGGGAGAGGUAAGAGGUACUUCAGGGGUAGAAGUGAAAUUCUGUAAUCCUUGAGGGACCACCGAUGGCGAAGGCAUCUUACCAGAACGGCUUCGACAGUGAGGAACGAAAGCUGGGGGAGCGAACGGGAUUAGAUACCCCGGUAGUCCCAGCCGUAAACUAUGCGCGUUAGGUGUGCCUGUAACUACGAGUUACCGGGGUGCCGAAGUGAAAACGUGAAACGUGCCGCCUGGGAAGUACGGUCGCAAGGCUGAAACUUAAAGGAAUUGGCGGGGGAGCACCACAACGGGUGGAGCCUGCGGUUUAAUUGGACUCAACGCCGGGCAGCUCACCGGAUAGGACAGCGGAAUGAUAGCCGGGCUGAAGACCUUGCUUGACCAGCUGAGAGGAGGUGCAUGGCCGUCGUCAGUUCGUACUGUGAAGCAUCCUGUUUAGUCAGGCAACGAGCGAGACCCACGCCAACAGUUGCUAGCAUGUUCUCCGGAAUGAUGAGGACACUGUUGGGACCGCCUCUGCUAAAGAGGAGGAAGGAGUGGACGACGGUA